RNAcentral lists this ribosomal RNA (672 nucleotides) under uncultured bacterium. Its description in RNAcentral is "bacterial SSU rRNA". It matches the Rfam family "Bacterial small subunit ribosomal RNA", at positions 99 to 752 of the family's 1533-position model. The record is from RNAcentral.
CGCACGGGUGAGUAACACGUGGAUGAUCUACCCAUCAGUUCGGGAUAACAAGUUGGAAACGACUGCUAAUACCGUAUACGAUCUUAUUUCAACAUUGGGUGAAAGGCGGCCUCUGCUUGCAAGCUGUCGCUGAUGGAUGAGUCCGCGUCUCAUUAGGUAGUUGGUAGGGUAACGGCCUAUCAAGCCGACGAUGAGUAGCCGGCCUGAGAGGGUAAUCGGCCACACUGGGACUGGAACACGGCCCAGACUCCUACGGGAGGCAGCAGUGGGGAAUAUUGCGCAAUGGGCGAAAGCCUGACGCAGCGACGCCGCGUGAGGGAUGAAGGCAAUAAGGGUCGUAAACCUCUGUCAGGAGGGAAGAAGUGUGCGGGUGCUAAUCAGCCCGUAUUUGACGGUACCUCCAAAGGAAGCACCGGCUAACUCCGUGCCAGCAGCCGCGGUAAUACGGAGGGUGCGAGCGUUAAUCGGAAUCACUGGGCGUAAAGCGCGCGUAGGCGGCCAUUUAAGUCAGGGGUGAAAUCCCACGGCUCACCCGUGGAACUGCCCUUGAUACUGAGUGGCUUGAGUAAGUGAGAGGAUAGUGGAAUUCCUGGUGUAGGGGUGAAAUCCGUAGAGAUCAGGAGGAACAUCAGUGGCGAAGGCGACUGUCUGGCACUAUACUGACGCUGAGGU